AUUUUCUUAAGCAAUGUGUUCUUCACCUUCAUGCGUAUUUGGUUUUUUAUUUCUAAUUUAGAUAUCAAAUGAGUUCAUGUGUCUUAUUUUGGCAGAAAAGCAUGCUGGGUCACCUGCUUACUAGGAGUGAGCUCUUUGAUAAGGUCUACACCAAGAGAAUCACUUUGAGGAGAAUUUGGCAAAAGCCAUCAGGGAGCGUUCCACUCAGAUUGUUGCGAGGCCUAGAACCGCCUCCAAUCUCGAAGCGUGAGAGGGUGCACCCCGAUUCUCUAAUGUUGUUGGGAUGCCAGAUGAUCAUUCGUAGACUUGAUGGAACGGAUUACUUGUGCAGCACGAUAAGCAGAAGAUGAGGUAUGCGGAGUUAGAGACACGCUACCAUCAGAGUAGAAGGAGUGAAGGCAAAUUCAUCAAAUGCAGUAGGGGGAGAUCACCCGCCACCAGCAGAAUGCAUAAAUGAUUGAUUUCAAGGGCGUCGUGAGUCAAUUGUACAUGUUUGUGCGGUCUCUUCCAAUGGAAUUUGACUCGCACACUUUUAUCGACACUGUCAGUAAAAGUCAUCAAUAAUGUUCAAAGUUUUUGUAGUGGUUACUGAUAAUUGUCAGUUAAAGUGAACACACUUUAAUUGUGGUCAAGUCUUAUGAAUCAUGUUUUUUUAACACCAUAUUUACUACCAUUCAAAACGGUGUCAACAUAAAGUAAAUUCCAAAAAGUAUUUCAGCUCA
Non-coding RNA from Arachis ipaensis, 722 nucleotides. The record is from RefSeq and is a predicted model, not a curated record. Lineage: Eukaryota; Viridiplantae; Streptophyta; Magnoliopsida; Fabales; Fabaceae.